CGGAGGAACAUGUGGUUUAAUUCGAUGAUACGCGAGGAACCUUACCUGGGCUUAAAUGUAGAGUGCUAUUUUUUAGAGAUAGAAAUUCCCUUCGGGGCUUUCUGCAAGGUGCUGCAUGGUUGUCGUCAGCUCGUGCCGUGAGGUGUCGGGUUAAGUCCCAUAACGAGCGCAACCCUUAUCGUUAGUUGCCAUCUGGUAAUGCAGGGGACUCUAGCGAAACUGCCACCGUAAGGUGAGAGGAAGGUGGGGAUGACGUCAAAUCAGCACGGCCCUUAUGUCCAGGGCUACACACGUGUUACAAUGGUCGGUACAGAGGGCAGCUACCUGGUGACAGGAUGCUAAUCUCGAAAACCGGUCUCAGUUCGGAUCGAAGUCUGCAACUCGACUUCGUGAAGUCGGAAUCGCUAGUAAUCGUGGAUCAGAAUGUCACGGUGAAUACGUUCCCGGGUCUU
RNAcentral lists this ribosomal RNA (452 nucleotides) under uncultured Sphingobacteriales bacterium. RNAcentral's name for it is "bacterial SSU rRNA". It matches the Rfam family "Bacterial small subunit ribosomal RNA", at positions 930 to 1382 of the family's 1533-position model. Lineage: Bacteria; Pseudomonadati; Bacteroidota; Sphingobacteriia; Sphingobacteriales. The record is from RNAcentral.